This is a long non-coding RNA of Lutra lutra (Eurasian river otter), 869 nucleotides long. RefSeq lists it as uncharacterized. The transcript is spliced from 4 exons. NCBI's taxonomy places the organism in Eukaryota, Metazoa, Chordata, Mammalia, Carnivora, Mustelidae. The record is from RefSeq and is a predicted model, not a curated record.
UGCUCCUGCUUCAGCCAGUAGAAGUGAAUUAGUAAGAAAAUUGGCCUGUGACUACAGUUUUUAUUUCUGGAAAAUCAGUGUCUUCCACAUCCUAUUAAAUUCAAGGCCAGCUCCUGGUUCCCAUUUCUAGAGAACUGCCUCACCUACUGGAAAAGAUUUAAGCAUCAGAGUCUGCUGACACAGGAAAAGGAGGCAGAAGGAAGGGCUGGCUAUACUCAGAGAACUUCAGGAGGACCUUGGCACACACCAAACUCUACAGGAAACUGCAGCUUGAAGGCCCAUGGCUCUACUGUCACUGACAGUCCCACAUGGAUGGCGCAGCCCUAGAUGGCAGUCAAGGAAGCCAAGGAUAGGAGAAAUUGAGCCACCCUCACCAUGACUUAAUAUGUAAAGCAAAGAAUGAAACCAAUCCACUCUCCUUCAGAUCAUGGUGAAAUUUGGUAAUUAAACUUAAUUUAUAUAAAUAAUUCAACCUCUAGAGCCCCACCAUCUCCUUUUGACUUUAAAAGAUAAAACAACAAAGAUUCAUUUAAAGUUAUGAGUAUGCUUUCCCAGUUCCUCUCUUGUCACUUCCUGUUUCCACGUUCAGGUCUCCUAACCAUCAGCAAGUAGGGUAGGGUUUCUCCACAUCACCUUCUGAGGGUCUCUCCUACCACUUCCCUGCCUGGAGAUCUCUGACACCAGAGCUGAAGCCCAGAGCCCCUCCUCAUAUUGUCUAUCCAAUGAGGGGAUGAAAGUUCAGUCCUAGAAGUGUUGGAAAGAAUCUUACAUAUCAGCUAGAAUCAUCAUUUCAACUCACUUGUUAAAGAAGCUGUAGUCCAGGGAGGAGACAGGACUUAUACAAUGGCUGUUUUAGAUCCAAAAAUGCA